AUUCCAUGAUGGGGACAUUCUAGGAUGUAGUCUUGAAAGCGCUCCCAUGCUUCUGGAACAAAUUCAUCAUUUUGUUGCUGAAAACUUGUAAUCUUCCCACAGAGAGC
Molecule: small nucleolar RNA, 107 nt
Filed under: Sorghum bicolor (sorghum)
Lineage: Eukaryota; Viridiplantae; Streptophyta; Magnoliopsida; Poales; Poaceae
Description: Plant small nucleolar RNA R71
Rfam family: Plant small nucleolar RNA R71
About the family: R71 is a member of the C/D box family of snoRNAs containing the C (UGAUGA) and D (CUGA) box motifs.
Source: Rfam by way of RNAcentral